Molecule: ribosomal RNA, 817 nt
Filed under: Dissophora ornata
Lineage: Eukaryota; Fungi; Mortierellomycota; Mortierellomycetes; Mortierellales; Mortierellaceae
Description: LSU rRNA
Rfam family: Eukaryotic large subunit ribosomal RNA
Source: RNAcentral
UCGGUAGCAGCCUGGGUAUAAAUCCUUUGGAACAGGGUAUCAUAGAGGGUGAGAAUCCCGUCUUUGACCUGGUGCAUGCUACUAUGUGAUACGUUUUCAAAGAGUCGAGUUGUUUGGGAAUGCAGCUCAAAAUGGGUGGUAAAUUUCAUCUAAGGCUAAAUAUUGGCGAGAGACCGAUAGCGAACAAGUACCGUGAGGGAAAGAUGAAAAGAACUUUGAAAAGAGAGUUAAACAGUGCGUGAAAUUGUUGAAAGGGAAACGUUUGACACCAGUCAUGCGAAUGAAAAAUCAGUUAAUGCUAGUGGAGAGUGGUACGGGUUCAGACCGCAAGGCUGGCCUUUGCUUCAUCUCUGCUGUCAUUGAUGCACUUUUUCAUUUGCAGGUCAACAUCAGUUUUCCCUGCUGGACAAAACUCCAAGAGAAGGUAGCAGCUUAGGCUGUGUUAUAGCUCUGGAGCGAUACAGUGGGGGGGACUGAGGAUUUCGCAGUGUGUGCUCUCGGGCAAGGCUGACUGGGUGCUAUCGGAUCGUUCGGUGUACAAUGCAUGCAUUUUGCGCCGUGUCUUUCUUAUACUCGCUCAGCUCAGCUCUUCCACACUUAGGAUGUUGACUUAAUGGUUUUAAACGACCCGUCUUGAAACACGGACCAAGGAGUCUAACAUAUAUGCAAGUGUUUGGGUGGCAAACCCAUACGCGUAAUGAAAGUGAACGUAGGUGCGAUCCGCAGGUGCAGCAUCGACCGAUCUUGAUAUUUUUGGAUAGAUUUGAGUAAGAGCAUAUAUGCUGGGACCCGAAAGAUGGUGAACUAUGCCUGAAUA